This 742-nucleotide long non-coding RNA is filed under the name Bos indicus x Bos taurus (hybrid cattle). Its description in RNAcentral is "lncRNA (ENSBIXG00005031404.1)". The record is from RNAcentral. Lineage: Eukaryota; Metazoa; Chordata; Mammalia; Artiodactyla; Bovidae.
AAAACAUUUCAUGAGAUUCAAAAAUCUGAUUUGCUUCCUCUUAUGUACUUUUUCACAUUUCUUUUUAUCCCUCCCCCAAUAUGUGAUAAUACACUGAUAUAUGAAGGACGUAUGCGUGUUUUAAAGGGCCAAGGAAAGAAGAUACUGAGCAAACUGCUGCUCUGGAAGUGGUCCCAAGUAAGAGGAGAAAUGACACAGGUGGCUCCUGCUUUGAAGAAGGGAAGAGAAAACAGAAUUCUGGGGGCAAGCUAAAAGGGAAACAACCGCGAGUGCAGUGGAUUGACUGAAAACUACCUGAUGUUCUGCAAUCCUGGAGGCUGUCCUGAGCGCUGAGUAGUCAUAUGCUGAAUGAUCGUCAGAACCUGCUGAACCCACUUCAAAGGAUAAACCAACAUCGAAGCAACAGCACUGGCUUGGAAACUGUGAGAUUCGACAUGAAUUCUCUGAUGGAAGAAAUCCAGUUGCAUUAUGUGAUAGCAACCAGAUCAUAUGGAAUGCCGAAAGAAGCAGAACUUGAUGAAAGAAGAAGAGGAAGAGAUGGAGAAGCACUCAACCAAUUUGGAGUGUCUGAAGCUGGAGAGCUCAAACCCAGUGAUGACUCUGGUGGAGCCCCUCUUCAUGGCUCACAGCCUUCCCCAAGAUAAGUCGGUAAUGAGACACGCAAAUUGCUGAUACCUUCGCCCUCACCAGUUCAACAAUUGUGGGAUUCUGAACUAUUAAUAAAAUGUAACAAAAUAUUCCA